RNAcentral lists this ribosomal RNA (394 nucleotides) under Bacillus licheniformis. RNAcentral describes it as "bacterial SSU rRNA". It matches the Rfam family "Bacterial small subunit ribosomal RNA", at positions 50 to 437 of the family's 1533-position model. Lineage: Bacteria; Bacillati; Bacillota; Bacilli; Caryophanales; Bacillaceae. The record is from RNAcentral.
UAUACUUGAAGUCGAGCGGACAGAUGGGAGCUUGCUCCCUUAUGUUAGCGGCGGACGGGUGAGUAACACGUGGGUAACCUGCCUGUAAGACUGGGAUAACUCCGGGAAACCGGGGCUAAUACCGGAUGCUUGAUUGAACCGCAUGGUUCAAUUAUAAAAGGUGGCUUUUAGCUACCACUUACAGAUGGACCCGCGGCGCAUUAGCUAGUUGGUGAGGUAACGGCUCACCAAGGCAACAAUGCGUAGCCGACCUGAUAGGGUGAUCGGCCACACUGGGACUGAGACAUUUCCCAGACUCCUACGGGAGGUUGCAGUAGGGAAUCUUCCGCUAUGGAAUAUAGUUGACGGAUCCACCUCUCGUUAUUCUGAAGGUUUGCCGUUCGAAAAGUCUGUG